Molecule: ribosomal RNA, 253 nt
Filed under: uncultured bacterium
Lineage: Bacteria
Description: partial 16S ribosomal RNA
Rfam family: Bacterial small subunit ribosomal RNA
Source: RNAcentral
CACGUAGGCACCAAGCGUUGUCCGGAUUUAUUGGGCGUAAAGGGCGCGUAGGCGGCCUUCUAAGUCGAACGUGAAAUCCCCGGGCUCAACCCGGGAACUGCGUCCGAUACUGGAAGGCUUGAAUCCGGGAGAGGGAUGCGGAAUUCCAGGUGUAGCGGUGAAAUGCGUAGAUAUCUGGAGGAACACCGGUGGCGAAGGCGGCAUCCUGGACCGGCAUUGACGCUGAGGCGCGAAAGCCAGGGGAGCAAACGGG